AAGUCAGUGGAAAUAGAUUUUAAGAUCCUUUUACAAGUGGUUCAGAGAAGUCUUGUGUCUGCUAGCUUCGCUUCAAUGGCUGCAAUUGGAGCUUAGAAAACCUGCCUGACAAAUUCAGGGGUCUCCUCUAAGGUGAACUUAAAGGAAAAUUGAGUAAAAUUCUCCUUGUUUUCUCAAAGGAUUCAUGUUCUCUGUGCACACAUAGGAGUUGGCAUCAGUGGCCAGGAAGAAAUGGAAGCUGUUUUGGCCAGGGACUGUUUGCCCACUUCAGACACCUCCAGAGGCUCUCGCAGAUUGAUGGCAGUCUUUCUUGUUUGAGAAUGUGUAAGUUCUUGUGUUAUUUCUUCUAUAAAAACUUUGCAUUCAUACUGCUGCAUUUCAGGUUUGUCUUCUGUGGCUUCUUUACUCAGGUCUGUUUCUAUUUUAUAUGUUUGUAAAUGAACAAAGCAGUGACUUGUACUCUAGAUACCUGAAAGUAGAAGUAUUGAAAGUCAGAAGAAUGAAUUAGGCAAUCUAAAUAUUUGAAUGCAAUUGUUUGGGAGUUAGAAUGAAAUAAUUAUGGUUUCUUUUUCUGUUUUGAAAACAUGAAUGUGUACCAGUUGCUACACUUAAUGAUGCCCUUCAUUUUCCAAGGUGAAGGCAUACCAUUUUUAUAUGGUAGACACUUCUACCUUAGAAGGAAGAGAGAAGCCAUAUGUUUUGCUUUAAGGGUAUGGUAAAUCCCAGAGUUUGUCUGUGUGGUUGUAAGGAGUGUGUAGAUAGCCAUGAUGAAACAACCGCCCUUAACUAGACUGCAUCCACUACAUCUGCAAUAGAUGUCUAGUAAGCAAUUUUACUAAGGUGAAGAGCUGUCUUGGAAUUUCAUGCUUUUUU
Molecule: long non-coding RNA, 873 nt
Organism: Neopsephotus bourkii (Bourke's parrot)
Lineage: Eukaryota; Metazoa; Chordata; Aves; Psittaciformes; Psittacidae
Exons: 3
Source: RefSeq, a predicted model, not a curated record